UACGUAGGGCGCAAGCGUUAUCCGGAAUUAUUGGGCGUAAAGAGCUCGUAGGCGGUUUGUCGCGUCUGCCGUGAAAGUCCGGGGCUCAACUCCGGAUCUGCGGUGGGUACGGGCAGACUAGAGUGAUGUAGGGGAGACUGGAAUUCCUGGUGUAGCGGUGAAAUGCGCAGAUAUCAGGAGGAACACCGGUGGCGAAGGCGGGUCUCUGGGCAGUAACUGACGCUGGAGGAGCGAAAGCGUGGGGAGCGAACAGG
RNAcentral lists this ribosomal RNA (254 nucleotides) under uncultured bacterium. Its description in RNAcentral is "partial 16S ribosomal RNA". It matches the Rfam family "Bacterial small subunit ribosomal RNA", at positions 524 to 776 of the family's 1533-position model. The record is from RNAcentral.